RNAcentral lists this transfer RNA (85 nucleotides) under Oscillospiraceae bacterium. RNAcentral's name for it is "tRNA-Leu". It matches the Rfam family "tRNA". Rfam says of the family: Transfer RNA (tRNA) molecules are approximately 80 nucleotides in length. Their secondary structure includes four short double-helical elements and three loops (D, anti-codon, and T loops). The record is from RNAcentral. RNAcentral also lists the same sequence under 1 other name. Lineage: Bacteria; Bacillati; Bacillota; Clostridia; Eubacteriales; Oscillospiraceae.
GCGGGUAUGAUGGAAUUGGUAGACAUGCGAGAUUUAGGUUCUCGUGCCGUCAGGCGUUGGGGUUCGACUCCCCAUACCCGCACCA